GACACUCGCCUUCCUGGCUCGCCCCUCCUUCUUCCCUCGGUAUCUGCGGAGAAGCCUAGGCGAGACGAGGGCUGGCAGGGAGUGCAGCCGAGGUCCGCCGGGGCCCGGGAAGGAGGGCUGGCUGAGGCCUGCUAUCUCCUGACUCCGGGCUGGGGGGCUUUUGUGGAGGGGUGGGAGCGGCGGCGUUGUUUCGCCUUGUUACGGGUUAUCUCACGUAGUUAUCAGCGUCUACUGAACAUACUCGCACUUGGAGCCUGGAGCGCCGGCUGUGCACGGACCCGGCUGGGGACGCAACUGCGUACGUGUGUCUCCACCGUGUGGGCCUUUGCUUUUGUUCAGCUCCUCCCUUGCGCCACCACUCCGUCGGCCAACUGUCAGGCACUCCAGUGCUCCCUCCUGGAAAAGCCCUGGCACAGCACCUUUGUCGGCCCUCUUCCCCAUCAGCCCCAGGAGCAUCUGUCUGGCAGUAGACGCUGUCCCGCGGCUUCCUCGGGUGCCUCCAGAUACUACAGGACAGGCAGGCUAACCGCAUCAGCACAGCUCCACGGGAAAAGCCUGAACAAACGCGAAUCUGGUCAGGUUGUUCCUCAACCCAUUCUACAACGGGGAAUCCAGUCGUGAGAGUGCCAGGACCAACCACAUGUUCUGAGCCAAUUUCAGGAAGCUCAGCUUUCCUCUUUGGCAUGUAAAAAGCCAAACCCCAAACACCCUGGAUUCAAUUUCUAGUAAUAGCCGCUCAUCCCAGGGGUUUGGCAAUGUUUUUAAAUGCUUUCUGUUAACAAUUGUGGGCUCUGGUUAAGAGAUGGUGUGUAUCCACCUGCGGUGUGAGAUUUGUACAGUGGUUCCUCCCUCCUGUGAUCAGGCCCUUUGCACUCUGCCUGCACAAGCAGAGCAGCUGUUUUCAUUGCAACCUCUUGAAGGAAAUUCAAAAAGGGGGAAAGACCCAGAAGAAUAAGACAACUUUGGGUUGUGUUUCCAUGGCAGCUUCUGGCUAUUCAAGGGUCACAAGUAUUUUUGAGGAACCAAAGGAGGUAUUUUCUAUUGGUAGUAGUCCGUACCCUGGUGCCCAGUCAGAGCCAAUUGUGAAUUGGUCACUAGAAACCAGCAUAUUGCUAAGAAAACUGAUAAUGUAAGACGUUCUGGACUUUGCAGUGACCUCAGCUUCUUGGAUCAGGCCAGGUCCUUAUGGGUGAGAAUCAUGGGUGGAAAGGAGGGAGAUAGGGAGAGGAAGGAGAGGUAGGAGAAGCUUAUGAAUAGGAAUGAGAGAGAAAAGAAAUAGAAAGCAAACAAAUCACACUCGGAGUGCUGCUUUCCUUUCCCACAUCUGUACCUUUCACAAUCUUCAGCGGUUUCCAUGGAGAUGAAUUGGCUGACUUUAUGGCAAGAUGUAGCAGGCAGUGCCUAUCCUCAGAAACCAGUUCAGUACCCCCAUCUCUAACACAUGCUCUCCUGGGGCCUCAACUGCUUUACCUGGGCCAUGUUCCCUUUUCCUGCUCUAAAAUCCUGUAACUAAAAAGAAAUGAGCAUAGUUUUCAAUAGCCCAUAUCUCCUUGUUCCUCCAAGAAAAUAGUUAUUGCUUCCAUUGCUCUUAUAAAUAUGGACAUGCUUCCUGUCUUCUCUCCUUCUCUGCCCUCCUCCCUUCUGUGCCUCCUUUUAUCCUUCCUAAUUAUGAUUUAUUUCCUGUCUCUGACAAAGCACAUUGCUCUAAUGUAUGGCAAAAUUAAGGAACAAACCACAAUAGCCUGCCUUCCUCUCUAAUGAAUGAAUAAUCAUUCACUGAACAUCAAUUAUAUGCCCAGGGUGGUGAUAGGCAGUGUCAAAUACAGCAGCUACCACCAUCAUAUAAUAAGCGACUGCUCUAUGCCAUCUGGGAUGAUGGUAGGCAUUUCACAAACUUCACUUAAGACCCACAAUAACCCUUUAAUGGUUUUAGACUCAUUUUACAGAAGCUGCUGGUAUAAGACCCAAACUGUGUUUUACUUAUCUUAUGAAUCUAGACCAUCCUCUGCCUUCAGGUAAGAAUUUGCCUGAGCCUGGAAAGAGAAACCAUCCUCCAAGCAACACCGAGGUUGAGUUCACCUCCCCGUUGGUGAACUAUCAGCAAUGCCUCUGACAGUGAAGAGAAAGACAAAGAACCCACAUUGGGUGCCACAGGACAGCUCUCCUUUCUUCUUCCCCUAAGAAAACUCUAAAGAUUAAAACUGGUGGAAGGCUCUUCGCCUUGGAGCACACGAGAGGAAAAGAACCCCGCAGACCACAAGAGGAAACAUCUAUCCGGCACCCAGGGGACCUAAGGAGACUGAGGAAACCACGCCCCUACCCCAGUUGGAUCCGAAGCCGAAGGGAGGGGGGAAGCAGGGUUCACGCCCCCGCUGGCACACAGCCCAAUUGGCCAAUUGCCAUCACUGCAGACCUCCUCUGUUAUUUGAUUGGUUUUAGCUGUGAAGCCCCCUCCCGAAUGUCUCGCUCGGACUGGCCCAUUUCCCGGGACUAGACGGUGGCCAGAGGAGGACAAGAGACUUCUACACGCAAUGGCGGGACUGUUUGGGUGACAUCUGAAGCGCAGCCGCACGUCAACAAGCGUUCAGGCACCAGGGACAUGGCUGCGGUCUCGGUGGUGUCGGUGCUGCUGGUGGCGACGGAGUGGCAGCGUGUCCGGAUUCGGAUGCUGCUGCCGCCAAGGCAACGAUCCAAAAGGUAGUUCUGGCACUUGAAUACUACCUGGGAGUAACUUGUCAUGCCUUUAUUGUGUUGAACCAGUGUUCAAAAUGAAAUGCAAAAACUGCAGACUCAUGGACACAGCACAUCAUGUCGCUGGUACUCCAGGAACAACAUUUGAUAUGUUAAAUAGAAGAUACCUUUGUUGUGUUGCUUUCUGCCUUUAUGCCAAUCGAUAUGUUGAAGUCUUCAAAAAGUUCCUGAGAGACCCGUUUCAAAUUCUGAUAAAGAAGAACUGACCCUUGAAAGAGUCAAUAUCAUAUAAUAAUUUUGAAAAAGGAAUUGGCAGUGAGUCAAUUUGGGAGGAAAACUGUGGCCAUAAACAUUGAAGAAGACAGGACUUACAUGACACAGACUUUCGUACUACCGUGGAGGAAAUGCCACUGAAUGUGGCAGACUAAUUCCUGGGAUGAGAUGGUUUUGAAUGCCACGUUCGCUGUUGCUGAAAAGGUGUGUAAGUCAGUAACUGCCAACCUACAGUAUACCUUGCCUUGAUCCUUAUAGAACAUCCUUUGUUUACAUGACUUUCCUCAUUAUGAAACUGCUGCUGUGACAAAUAAGACAAAUGCUAGAAUCCUUGAAAGUAUCAGGUCAAUUCAAAGCCAUCACUGUCUUUGACCUUGGGGCGUUGGCUCCUGCGGUGGUAAAGGCGACUCUAUCCGCAAUGGCAAAAGCCCGCCGCGCGUGCCCAGACCAGCUUGCCGCCUACACCGCUUUCGUUGCCUAGCAAUCUGCUAUAGCAACAGAGGGCUUUCCACUUUCGCUUGCUGUCUGCUGGACUUCAGCUCCAGGUUGCCUAAACCAAGUCUCCCCAGAACCAACCUCAGAGCAAGGGAACACUGUUCAGAAGGAUAAAGAAGAGAAAAGUAAAGGAAUUCGGGGAAGCAGGUGGUGGACCCCACCCCAAGUCUGGGAGCUGUGCCUCACAACUACUACAAACAAACAAAACAAACAAACAAGAGAGUUCUUUAACCUUUUCUGGACAAAACUAGUUUAUCUACAGUCACCUCUCGUCUAUUCUCUCUCACCCCUGCAGACAACGCAUUUCUUUGUUGAGGCUACUUUUGUAAUCCUUAAAAUACAUGCCCAACCAAC
Non-coding RNA from Vicugna pacos (alpaca), 3813 nucleotides. NCBI's taxonomy places the organism in Eukaryota, Metazoa, Chordata, Mammalia, Artiodactyla, Camelidae. The record is from RefSeq and is a predicted model, not a curated record.